This 440-nucleotide ribosomal RNA is filed under the name uncultured Anaerolineaceae bacterium. Its description in RNAcentral is "bacterial SSU rRNA". It matches the Rfam family "Bacterial small subunit ribosomal RNA", at positions 930 to 1382 of the family's 1533-position model. Lineage: Bacteria; Bacillati; Chloroflexota; Anaerolineae; Anaerolineales; Anaerolineaceae. The record is from RNAcentral.
CGGUGGAGCAUGUGGUUUAAUUCGUAAGCAGCGCGAAGAACCUUACCAGGUCUUGACAUCCCGAUGCUUAUUUCUAGAGAUAGAAAGUUACUUCGGUACAUCGGUGACAGGUGGUGCAUGGUUGUCGUCAGCUCGUGUCGUGAGAUGUUGGUUAAGUCCGCUAACGAGCGCAACCCUCGCUGUGUGUUACAAGUGUCACACGGAACUGCCGGUCAUAAACCGGAGGAAGGUGGGAUGACGUCAAGUCAGCAUGGCCUUUAUAUCCUGGGCUACACACACGCUACAAUGGGAAGGGACAAUAGGUUGCGAAGCCGCGAGGCGGAGCCAAUCCAGCAAAACUUCCCUCAGUUCAGAUUGCAGGCUGCAACCCGCCUGCAUGAAGUUGGAGUUGCUAGUAAACGCAGGUCAGCCAUACUGCGUUGAAUACGUUCCCGGGGCUU